RNAcentral lists this antisense RNA (72 nucleotides) under Streptomyces rubellomurinus. RNAcentral's name for it is "ASpks TB sRNA". It matches the Rfam family "ASpks TB sRNA". RNAcentral also lists the same sequence under 1 other name. The record is from Rfam by way of RNAcentral. Lineage: Bacteria; Bacillati; Actinomycetota; Actinomycetes; Kitasatosporales; Streptomycetaceae.
CUUCACCGACCCCAACCACAACGGCGCACCCGCCCGCUCACGCCCGUACGUCGCCAGCAGCGCCUGCGCCUC